GAUUCCAAUUCCUCUUCCUUUUCCAUAUAAUCCAAAUCAGGUCCUGACACCUAAUGACAUAAUAGCGUUAAUCAGUUCUAUUUUGAACCAACUCCUGGUAAGUUCAUAUUAAUUUUUAAGCUAUUAUAAACUAAAAAUCUACUUAAUACAUUUAAGAUAAUAUUUUUUAAUUUUUUUAUUUUUAGGGGUUACUUGGGGUAAGCCUUCAUUUCUAUGAUUAUACUGAUAAAAGUAAGUGACAUUUAACCUCAGAAAAGGUAAGCAUAUUCUUGAGAACUGUAAAAACAUAUGGUAGAAUCACACAACUGAUUUACUCAUUUUGGAGCUCAUGAAUUAUAAACUCAAUUUCCUCCAAGAUCUUUAGAUCAUAAUUUCUGCAGGACUAAAAGGUAUUCUUUUCAUAAUGCCCAUGGUAUUUAACAAAACUUCCUUUUACAGAAAUAUAUGCAAUAUUAGGUUAAGAAAUUUCAAUCAGUAAAUUUUACCUCAAGCUUAUUGUUGUCUUGUGGACAAUCAUGUCAGCAGUAAGCAAAGCCUGCUGUGAAAUUACCAAACCUCAGGAUGCCUGAUGGCAAGGCAGCACCUCUCCUUAACACACAAGCAUCAGCUCGCUUGGUGGAAAGGCUGCGAACCUUGAGACUCUACUUUGAGUCUCACCCAAGUUUGCUUUCAUUUAAAAUAUAUACAAAAAACAUAGACCAAAAAGGUGUAUUCCUUUUUUAAAUAUCUGAAUUAAUGUCAAUUCAAAUUAUAUACAGUAUGCUUAUUUUAAGCUACCUAGAGAGAAUCCUACGAAUCAAAAUACUCUCAAUUCCAAUCCUGAUAAAGGAAUUGGAUUUCACCCGUUUUACUUCUAACAAGUUUCACUGCCCUAGAGUGCUUAUUUAGUGUUUCCUACCACUUUUUUGUUGUUGUUAAUCCUCACCUGAGGAUAUUUUUCUAUUGAUUUUUAAAGAGAGUGGAAGGCAGGGG
Myotis brandtii (Brandt's bat) is the source of this 972-nucleotide long non-coding RNA. RefSeq lists it as uncharacterized. The transcript is spliced from 3 exons. NCBI's taxonomy places the organism in Eukaryota, Metazoa, Chordata, Mammalia, Chiroptera, Vespertilionidae. The record is from RefSeq and is a predicted model, not a curated record.